UCAACUAAAACCAAAAAGAGGUUUUUUAUUGUUAAUAAAAAUAUUGAAUUAAAAAAUUCUAGUUGAA
RNAcentral lists this transfer RNA (67 nucleotides) under Scolia bicincta. RNAcentral's name for it is "tRNA-Asn". The record is from RNAcentral. Lineage: Eukaryota; Metazoa; Arthropoda; Insecta; Hymenoptera; Scoliidae.